CAAAUGCUAGUCAAAUUCUCAACCAUAAGAUCUGAACCAUCGAUCAAAAACUGAUCUGACGACUGAGAUCAAAGAAACCUAUUCUUUUCUUUUAAACCAAAACUUCUCAAACUCUAACCCUAUUUCCAAUUCAUCCGCCUCCCCACCCUCUCUCUCUAUCUAUCUGUUUUCCCCUCUCUCUAGAAUAAAACCGUUGCCCUUCCAUUGUUUUCCCACUCCGAUGGACGGCUGUUGCCGCCGCCCCACCACUUUUCUUCCUCCUCUCUUCCCUCCAUCUCCCAGCCACCGGCGAUUAGUGCUGCCACCAUCACACCGCUGUCAUCGCCCUUCACUUUCAUCACCGCCUCCGUGUCACCAACCGCCAUGCAAUGCCGCCGGACGCCGACCAACUCACCUCUUUCUCCAUGUUGUCACUCGUAUCCUUUCCUAGCGCCACCAACAAUGACAACAAUAUCACCAGCCGAGGACACCGGUCAACAACUAAGGAAACCCGUCGCCCCCCGUUCUCCGCAUCUCUACCACCGAUCAGCCCCAAAACCCUUCUUCCGUCGCCACUUCACGACCAUGCAGUCACAAUUUUAUACUAUUUUGUCUCACUAUUGAUCAUGAUCGGUGAGGUCGGGAUUAUUUGAAGAGUCGUCGGGUGUUAAACAUAAUAUGUUAUUUCUUAUAGCUGCUGUUUUCCUUUCUUAUUUUUUUUAUCAUUUGAUUUGUAACAUUAUUGUAAAGACGUUAUAUUGAUGUAAUAAUAAAUUUUGGGGACUGCUUCGGGAGGCAGAGGUUUA
Long non-coding RNA from Capsicum annuum, 785 nucleotides. RefSeq lists it as uncharacterized. NCBI's taxonomy places the organism in Eukaryota, Viridiplantae, Streptophyta, Magnoliopsida, Solanales, Solanaceae. The transcript is spliced from 2 exons. The record is from RefSeq and is a predicted model, not a curated record.